Molecule: non-coding RNA, 165 nt
Organism: Bombyx mori (domestic silkworm)
Lineage: Eukaryota; Metazoa; Arthropoda; Insecta; Lepidoptera; Bombycidae
Source: Rfam
AUACUUAGCUGGCGUAGAGGGAUGCCGUGAUCAUGCAGGCGAUUCCUCCAGGGCGAGGCUGCUCCAUUGCACUACCCUUGCACUGGUUGACCCUUGCGAUUAUCCUUAAUGCGGAUAACUCUGACGCGUAUUUUUUGUUUGUAUAGCCUUAGUAUAAUGGCUAUA